Molecule: ribosomal RNA, 169 nt
Filed under: uncultured bacterium
Lineage: Bacteria
Description: partial 16S ribosomal RNA
Rfam family: Bacterial small subunit ribosomal RNA
Source: RNAcentral
GCCAACUCCUACGGGAGGCAGCAGUGGGGAAUUUUGGACAAUGGGGGCAACCCUGAUCCAGCCAUGCCGCGUGCGGGAAGAAGGCCUUCGGGUGGUAAACCGUUUUGUCUGGGAAGAAAAGAUCUCUUCUAAUACGAGGGGUUAUUGACGGGUACCGGAAGAUUUUAAA